GACUUCCAGCUGGAGCAGCCCAGCCAGCCUGCGCGCUCACUCGCUUGCUUGCGCUGGGCUUCAGGGCGCCCGGGUGAGUUUUUUUCUCUCCCUCUCGUUUUUUUUUUUUUCCCAGGCUCUCGCGGGUUUCCCCUGCCAGGGAAUCCACUCGCUGUAGUUUUCUAGGGCUCUGGUCCCAGUCCUUUCUGAAGCGCGCUUGCAGGCUGUCUUCCUCAGUCGCCCUCUCCCUGGGUGCUGUUUUGCUGGGCAGCAUCCCAUGCUAGGCUCGGCAGACAUUCUGGCGGUUGGGUUCGGCCCUUACAGCGCUAACACCUGCAGAGUCGAGGCUCCUGCCAAAAGGCAGAAAGCAAAGGAGGAAAAAAUUCAUUGUCAUAAUAGCGAAAAUGAUAAACCUCAGCUGUUUAAGAGAAGAAUGUCUGAGUAGCUGUUGAUUAUCUCCCAUAAUCACAAAACAACUUUUUUUUAAAAAGAAUUUGCACUGUCUGUUAAAACGCGGUCAUUGUUUUGCUUUCAAAUCGAACUUCACGACAGUUAGCAACUUCAAGAACGCUUCCAAAUGGAUAAAUCUUUCCAGAAGGUUUUUCUGUGGACCUAAAUUUUCAUUUCUCUGGGAUAAAUGUCCAGGAGUGUGAUUGCUGGGUCAUAUGGUGUCACAUGCCAUUCUUCUGAUUUUCAUGAAUAUCCUCUAAAAGGCAGCUAAGCACUCGCUGUCUUCUUCCUUUUGCCUCAUCAAGCACGGGGGACGCUGGAAGGAAGAGUAUUUGUACAGUUGAGCCGAAAUGCCUGUUCUAACAAAGAGAGCCUGGUGUAUUCAGCUGGAACUCGUCAGCAUUUCAAGGGAAAGAAGUCACUCACUAAUUAAUGCUGGAGGUGGUGGGACUGCCAAGAUGAAUAGACAUAAUCCUCGAUCUAACCACUUCACAGUUUAUCAUCGGAGUCAAGUUUGCAGAUAAACAAUUGCCAUGCAACUUUCAAGCUCACUUCUCAGCUACCUAGGGCAAAAGCUGCUGCCAGAGUUCUAACAUUCAUAUGUUUGCAUAUUGUUAUGGGUUGCAAUUUGGAGAAGAAAAGAGGGCUGUGAUCUUCCUUUCAAAAGAAACUCCUUGGAAGCACCAC
Homo sapiens (human) is the source of this 1116-nucleotide long non-coding RNA. Ensembl annotates it as lncRNA bladder and prostate cancer suppressor, hnRNPK interacting. Its record names the gene LNC-LBCS. The record is from Ensembl. Lineage: Eukaryota; Metazoa; Chordata; Mammalia; Primates; Hominidae.